AUACGUAGGGUGCAAGCGUUAAUCGGAAUUACUGGGCGUAAAGCGUGCGCAGGCGGUUAUGUAAGACAGAGGUGAAAUCCCCGGGCUCAACCUGGGAACGGCCUUUGUGACUGCAUAGCUAGAGUACGGUAGAGGGGGAUGGAAUUCCGCGUGUAGCAGUGAAAUGCGUAGAUAUGCGGAGGAACACCGAUGGCGAAGGCAAUCCCCUGGACCUGUACUGACGCUCAUGCACGAAAGCGUGGGGAGCAAACAGGAUUAGAUACCCUGGUAGUCCACGCCCUAAACGAUGUCAACUGGUUGUUGGGAAUUAACUUUCUCAGUAACGAAGCUAACGCGUGAAGUUGACCGCCUGGGGAGUACGGCCGCAAGGUUGAA
This 375-nucleotide ribosomal RNA is filed under the name uncultured bacterium. Its description in RNAcentral is "bacterial SSU rRNA". It matches the Rfam family "Bacterial small subunit ribosomal RNA", at positions 523 to 898 of the family's 1533-position model. The record is from RNAcentral.